This 81-nucleotide non-coding RNA is filed under the name uncultured Dysosmobacter sp. RNAcentral's name for it is "Cyclic di-GMP-I riboswitch". It matches the Rfam family "c-di-GMP-I riboswitch aptamer". Rfam says of the family: GEMM was predicted in a large-scale screen for bacterial structured RNA regulatory elements. Genes associated with GEMM are involved in a diverse array of functions, including chemotaxis regulation, signal transduction, secretion and chitin. The record is from RNAcentral. Lineage: Bacteria; Bacillati; Bacillota; Clostridia; Eubacteriales; Oscillospiraceae.
AAAAAGGGCAAACCGUCCGAAAGGACGGGACGCAAAGCCAGGGAGCUAAAGCGGGAGACCGCCAGGCUGGCCCGGCCGCCA